AGAGUUUGAUCCUGGCUCAGAGUGAACGCUGGCGGCGUGGAUAAGGCAUGCAAGUCGUGCGAUUUUCUUGAGAUGUUUAUUACGGGGUAACUUGUGAUAAACGACUCUUUAGAAUAGCGGCAAACGGGUGAGUAACGCGUGGGUGAUCUACCUUAAGGAGGAGGAUAGUUCGUCGAAAGGCGGAGUAAUACUCCAUAAUACUCUCAGUAUCGUUAUUGAGAUUUAAAGGUGGCCUCUGGUUUACUAUGCUACCGCCAUAAGAGGGGCCCGCGUCCUAUCAGGUUGUUGGUGGGGUAAUGGCCUACCAAGCCUAAGACGGGUAGCUGGCAUUAGCGUGUGUUCAGCCACACCGGGACUGAGACACUGCCCGGACUCCUACGGGAGGCUGCAGUCGAGGAUCUUUCCCAAUGGGCGAAAGCCUGAGGAUGCGACGUCGCGUGAGGGAUGAAGGCUUUCGGGUCGUAAACCUCUUUUAUUAGGGAGGAAAUCCAGAUAGUGAAUAAUUAUCUGGUUUGACUGUACCUAUUGAAUAAGCCACGGCUAACUCCGUGCCAGCAGCCGCGGUAAUACGGAGGUGGCAAGCGUUACUCGGUUUGACUGGGUGUAAAGGGUCCGUAGGCGGCCAGAUGUGUGAAAGGUGAAAUUUCUUCGCUUAACGGAGAGACUGCCUUUCAAACUGUCUGGCUCGAGGUUGGAAGAGGAGAGCGGAACUGACAGUGUAAGGGUGAAAUCUGUGGAUAUUGUCAGGAACGCCUGUGGUGAAAGCGGCUCUCUGGUCCAAUCCUGACGCUGAGGGACGAAAGCUAGGGGAGCAAACAGGAUUAGAUACCCUGGUAGUCCUAGCUGUAAACGAUGGGCACUAGGUGUUCUCGCCUUUGGCGAGGGUGUUGAAGCUAACGCGUUAAGUGCCCCACCUGGGGACUACGGCCGCAAGGCUAAAACUCAGAGGAAUUGACGGGGGCCCGCACAAGCGGUGGAACACGUGGUUUAAUUCGAUGCUACGCGAGGAACCUUACCAGGGCUUGACAUGCUGGAAGUAGCCGCCCGAAAGGGAUGGCGAUCUGUAACCAGUCAGAAGCUAGCACAGGUGCUGCAUGGCUGUCGUCAGCUCGUGCCGUGAGGUGUUACCUUAAGUGGUAAAACGAGCGCAACCCUCGCUCUUAGUUGCCAUCACUCUGGCGUUUCGUUGGAGGUUGGGCACUCUAAGGGGACUGCCUACGUUAAGUAGGAGGAAGGCGGGGACGACGUCAAGUCCGCAUGGCCCUUAUGUCCUGGGCUACACACGUGUUACAAUGGCGCGUACAACGGGAGGCUAAUCCGCAAGGUGGAGCAAAUCCUUAAAAGCGCGCCCCAGUUCGGAUUGAGGUUUGCAAUUCAACCUCAUGAAGCUGGAAUCGCUAGUAAUGGCGCAUCAGCAACGGCGCCGUGAAUACGUUCCCGGGCCUUGUACACACCGCCCGUCAAGCGCUGAAAAUGGGGGGCGCCCGAAGCCUCAUUUACGAGGUCACGGUGAAUUUCAUGAUUGGCGCUAAGUCGUAACAAGGUA
RNAcentral lists this ribosomal RNA (1546 nucleotides) under metagenome. RNAcentral describes it as "bacterial SSU rRNA". It matches the Rfam family "Bacterial small subunit ribosomal RNA". The record is from RNAcentral.